AAGCAUCUUCCCAAGUUAACACCCUGUUGAACAUUAAAAUACUAAACAAAAUUAGAAUAGAGUUCAAGGCAAAUGUUAUGGAUGUCCACCUCCUUCACCAAAGGCAAUAUUAAACUGCCACUCAGUAUCAGACCAGCUAUGUUUGGACAUGAAGGAACAUUAUUUCCAUAAUUAGUACACAUGAGCAGUUGGUAAUAUCCUCCUAUUUUGUUCUCUUCAUAGAGUUAUAAAAGCCAAAGCCCAUAGAAAAAAUCAGUAUCUAAAAUUCAAUGGUUG
Molecule: unclassified non-coding RNA, 276 nt
Filed under: Hevea brasiliensis (rubber tree)
Lineage: Eukaryota; Viridiplantae; Streptophyta; Magnoliopsida; Malpighiales; Euphorbiaceae
Source: RNAcentral